This 301-nucleotide ribosomal RNA is filed under the name uncultured bacterium. RNAcentral's name for it is "partial 16S ribosomal RNA". It matches the Rfam family "Bacterial small subunit ribosomal RNA", at positions 509 to 807 of the family's 1533-position model. The record is from RNAcentral.
CAGCAGCCGCGGUAAAACGUAGGGUGCAAGCGUUAAUCGGAAUUACUGGGCGUAAAGCGUGCGCAGGCGGUUAUAUAAGACAGAUGUGAAAUCCCCGGGCUCAACCUGGGAACUGCAUUUGUGACUGUAUAGCUAGAGUACGGCAGAGGGGGAUGGAAUUCCGCGUGUAGCAGUGAAAUGCGUAGAUAUGCGGAGGAACACCGAUGGCGAAGGCAAUCCCCUGGGCCUGUACUGACGCUCAUGCACGAAAGCGUGGGGAGCAAACAGGAUUAGAUACCCCAGUAGUCCCUGUCUCUUAUAC